Molecule: ribosomal RNA, 499 nt
Filed under: uncultured Flavobacteriaceae bacterium
Lineage: Bacteria; Pseudomonadati; Bacteroidota; Flavobacteriia; Flavobacteriales; Flavobacteriaceae
Description: partial 16S ribosomal RNA
Source: RNAcentral
CACGGAGUUAGCCGAUCCUUAUUCGUACGAUACCGUCAAACCAAUACACGUAAAGGUGUUUUUCUCGUACAAAAGCAGUUUACAACCCAUAAGGCAGUCUUCCUGCACGCGGCAUGGCUGGAUCAGGCUCUCGCCCAUUGUCCAAUAUUCCUCACUGCUGCCUCCCGUAGGAGUCUGGUCCGUGUCUCAGUACCAGUGUGGGGGAUACCCCUCUCAGGGCCCCUACCCAUCAUAGCUUUGGUGAGCCGUUACCUCACCAACUGGCUAAUGGGACGCACGCUCAUCUUGUACCGAUAAAUCUUUAAUUAAUAACCAAUGCUGAUCAAUAAUACUAUGGGGUAUUAAUCCAAGUUUCCCUGGGCUAUCCCCCUGUACAAGGUAGAUUGCGUACGCGAUACUCACCCAUCCGCCGGUCUCUAAUUGCCGAAGCAAUUAUACCCCUCGACUUGCAUGUGUUAAGCCUGCCGCUAGCGUUCAUCCUGAGCCAGGAUCAAACUCU